GUGUUUGCUUCAGCAGCACAUAUACCAAAAUUGGAAUGAUACUGGGGUUAGCAAUGGCCUCUGAGAAAGGAUGACACGCAAAUUCAUGAAGCGUUCUACAUUUUA
Small nuclear RNA from Sapajus apella (tufted capuchin), 105 nucleotides. The record is from RefSeq and is a predicted model, not a curated record. NCBI's taxonomy places the organism in Eukaryota, Metazoa, Chordata, Mammalia, Primates, Cebidae.